AUGAGGACAUAUUUUUUUCCUACAGACACUUCAUCGAGGGGUCAAGCAUUCAAGGAUUUUCUUGGAAUGAGAUGGCAAAUCCACAGUGAGACAUCGGCUGGACCGGCCGCGGCCACAGGGGGCCACUGGGAGCACAUGUCAGCCACCAGGAUGACAUGGAUGCUGAAGAAAGAGUGGGUCCUACAUAAACCUCAAACAGGACCCUCUCAAGGCAGGUUCAAGGAGACCAGAAGGAACUUUCUCCUUGUGACAUUGAGGAAGCUGGAGUCAGGCUGGUAAAAACUUGGCCACAGACAGGUUCCAGUGGGUCGGGGUUCUCAACUCCCCUUUGGACAUCAGGGGAAAGUGAGACCCACAGAGCAGCUCUAUCUUUCCCAUCCAAACCCACGUCCUUGAAUCUUCCCUGGAGGGAAACCACGCUGAGGUAGGAGGCCUGGGUUCCAGGCCCAACUCUGCUUCUAAUUUUCAAAGAAUCUACACAAAUCUCUUCCCCUCUCUGAGCCUCGAACCUGUAGGUAUUUCAGAUGACCCUGAAGAUGCCCUCUGGUGCAGCAUUGAGGACAUGGGGCUCAGACCCUGCCCGAGCUCAGGAGCCAGCACAGCUGAAGAAAUGGUCUGGACACCCAGGCUUCUUUCUCUGACAUCACGUUUGGGCCUCAGUUUCCUCUUCUGGGAAUGCAAGUGUUGUGGUUAACGCUGUCUGGGUUCAAACUCUGGCUCUGCCUUUACCAGCUGUGUGACCUUGGGCAAGUCACUUAACCUCUCUGUGCCUCUGUUUCCUCACAUACACAGCAGAGCAGCAAGGGAAGAGGACUCAGCUGUCUGAGAGUGUCCCCUGUCAGACCUGACGAUCCAUGCAUUUCUACCCCAAGUUUCUCCAAAUGAACCACAGAGAUAGGAAUCAGGUGAGGGGCCUCUCCCUGGAGCCGAGCCAAAGAUUUCCAAGGGACACAAUUUUGGUCUUUAAAUGGACGGGAAUAUUACGGUGUUGAACACAAAAGUCCCAUGCUUUUUUUUUUUCUUUUUUUUUUUUUUACAAAACGUAUGCCCUCAAAGGAAUUAUGUGUGUUUUAAAAAUAAGGCACACGACCUCAAAAUAACUUUAGUGAGGGUUGGUUUUGCGUAAGGGAAAGAGAGGACUUCAAGUGAUGCCCCAGAUGCUGUCCCCCAAAAUAUCAGGGGUUGGCCCUCUGCUGUUGCGGCUCAUGUGUUCAUUCCCUCACUAAGGGUUAAUGAGGGCCCACGAUUCAGGGUGCAGGUAAGUGCUUGGUUUUGACCAAAGAUGCUCCAUCCACUCCAGCUCUGGAAGAUGUCGGUUGGCUCAGAGCACUGGCUGCCGAAAAAAGGAGGGGGAAGGGGAGAGGAGUGGAGGGAGAGCCAGAAGGGGUGGAGGGGCCCUGGGAGCAGGAGGUACAUUGAGAAGGCAGGGGCCAGGCAGCCGGCCUUCUACUCAGCUCCCCACGGUGGCCCUGCUCCGCACCCCAUGAGCUUCAGAGCCCCCUAAGGAACUUGAGUGUCUGGGGUGCCCCCAGCAUUUCCAUAUGACAUCCUAGGGGAGAAACCAGCCAGACACCACUGCCGCCUCCGCCCCGGGGGAGCCAGAUGACGCCCAAAGAGGCCUUUCAGGCGCUUCCAGAACUGAUGGCUGCCCCAGGGCCAGGCCCACCUUUGAUGUCAGCCCUGCAUCCUUACAACCACCAGAGAUGGAGCUGACACAGCCCCAGUUUUCAAGAACACGGCUCUCAGCGAGGCACAGCAACUUGCCAAAGCGCCACAGCGAGAAAGCAGAAAGGGGCAGGGCUUCUCACUAAAUCUGCCCUAUCGCCGGGGACACGGACACCUAGAGACAAAGUCGUGAACGCCACACGCUUACCGAGCUCUGGGACCCCAGCUAAGUGCGUCUCCCACAUGAACGCCCAAUUCCAAGUUCCCCAAUCCCAGGUUCUUUCCUUUAAACAAAUGGCACGGCAAAUACCAAAAUAACAAAGAUAAAAAAUAAAAUAGGGCUUCCCUGGUGGGGCAGUGGUUGAGAGUCCGCCUGCCGAUGCAGGGGACACGGGUUCGUGCCCCAGUCCAGGAAGAUCCCACAUGCCGCGGAGCGGCUGGGCCUGUGAGCCAUGGCCGCUGAGCCUGCGUGUCCGGAGCCUGUGCUCCGCAACGGGAGAGGCCACAACAGUGAGAGGCCCGUGUACCAUAAAAAACAAACAAAUAAAUAAGAUAAAAUAAAAUGUGCCCUCCCCUAGAUCCAUGUCCCCCCCACCAAAGGCCCUGUGAGGCAGUGUCGUUCCCAUUUCACAGAUGAGGAAACCAAGACUGCAGAACUAGGAAGGCGAGGAAUUUGAAGCCAAGCAGUCGGAUUCCAGAAGCUCUGACCACCAUGCCAUCCUGCCUCUCCAAACACACCUUGACGAGCCAUGCUUCUCCCCCUGGUCACCCGGCACCGGCUCCAAUGCCCACACAGGGAAGGAAGGACGCCCGAGUGAGGGAACAGUUUUACCAGUUCAGCAGAAGGUGAGAGGGACCCCAGCCUCUUCAUCCAGGUCACAGGACACAGCCUUAACCACCCUCAGUCACCGUGGCCCGUGGGCUCUGGCAGAAGGCCACAGGCAGGCAGGCAGUGUAGACGUGGGUGUGCCAAGAUUGCAACACUUACCCUCACGGCCUCCCAGGCCUGUUCGGUUUCUCUGAGCUCCGCUGAUAUGCAGCUCUGUCACAUUAAAAAAAAAAAAAGUCAACGCAAUUCUACAAGAAAAGGGAGGAACAGAGAGGUCCCAGUGGAGGUAUGAGGAAGUGGUAACACAGACGUCUAUGGAACUGACUCAGUCACUGCCUGUCCUCAGGUCCCUGAAGCAGGGGAGGCUGCCGCUUACUAACCUCCAGGAAGAUCCCGGGCCAAAGGCUCCCCUCCCCCGCGUCCAAAAGCCUGAGGGUCCACCACUGUGGACGUGCUGUGCUGGCUUAAGGCGCCAGGCUCACAACCCCCUCUCCUGCGAGCUGUCACCAGCUGCAAACACCUCAGGGUGAAGGAGUUGAUCCCUUUGGUUUUCAGUGCAACAUCUGGAUGAGAAGAGUCUUCUGAGGGAUGGGGCAUGAGACUCAUAAGUGUUGAUCGAGCUAUCAAAGAUAAAUGAGAUAACCCUGACUGGUGUAGGGAGAGUCUGUGGCAUCAGUGGAAAGGGCUGGAAAUCACAGAGGAGGAGGGUAGGUGAGCUCUGGAGAAGGGACCAGGAGAAUAGGAACAGCCCUUGUGGUGUCCAGGUAAACGAAGGGCAAGGCUCAGGAGCCUGACUCCUUUCGCUGUGAGCUGUGUGGCCUUAGGGAGCCAAUUAACCUCUCUGAUCCUCAAUCUCUAAGCCUCAUCCUUCACAGGAAAAAAAUAACUGCCAAACAGUCUGGGGGUUGGAGCAGAAGGGGGUGAUUAAAGAAUUCAAUCUCAUUUCAGGAAGUAUUUACCAAGGACCUGCCACAUACCCCAUUUUCAGGGCCCAGAAGUCUUUGCAGGGACCCACUAAGUGCGGGACCCAGUGCUAAGCCCUUUACAUGGAUUAUCUCCUUUAAUUCUCACCACACAACUCAGGGCAGAACCUGCCAACACUCUCAUUUACAAGUGGGGAAACCGAGGCUGAGAGAGAGGAACCGACCCGAGAUCACCCAGCUGGUCAUCAAGCGACUCGGGAUUCGAACCCAGGUCUGCCUUACUCCAAACUGAACCAUUACUCUGAGGGCCCCGUCAAAGCACAGAAAGCCAGGGCCACUGGAGGUGGGACGUGUUCCCAAGGCAGAGAGGGAGGCUGUGAAUUAGGGAAUGGAGGAGGGGUGAGCACACAUGUUUUCUCCAGGCCUCAGUUUCCUUGGCUGUAAAAUGAGACAGUUUGCCCCACCUCCCACAUUUCUGAUGGGUC
This 3902-nucleotide long non-coding RNA is filed under the name Monodon monoceros (narwhal). RNAcentral's name for it is "lncRNA (ENSMMNG00015009696.1)". Lineage: Eukaryota; Metazoa; Chordata; Mammalia; Artiodactyla; Monodontidae. The record is from RNAcentral.